Non-coding RNA from Meleagris gallopavo (turkey), 5548 nucleotides. The record is from RefSeq and is a predicted model, not a curated record. Lineage: Eukaryota; Metazoa; Chordata; Aves; Galliformes; Phasianidae.
GUUGGGCGGCGGGCGGUGACGUCACUACGGAGCGCCGCGCCUGGCCGUGUUUCGGGUCGGUGCUACCUGUCGCUGCUCGGCGUGUGCGUCGCACCGCGCCGCCUCGCUGCUUCCCGUCUCCGUGUGGAUCCUGAUGAGCGGCAGGUGGUGAGAGACGCCGGGCUGGCGCGAUGAGUCUCUUCAACCUGGACCGCUUCCGUUACGAGAAGAGGAGGACAAGCGCGGAGCAGGAUGGGCGGCCUGCUGCUGCAGCUCAGGCCCAGGAGGAUGGCAGCCCUGCUGCUGCAGCCCAGGCCCAAGAGGGCAGUCCUGCUUCUGACGGCGGUGGAAAUGAUGUUGCAGGGAGCAGCAGGCCGGGCAGCCCAGCCUCGGAGGUAGCAGGUCCACCCGACAGCGCUAAGGUAGGUAAUUAUUUUUCUAUGAAUUUUGAUGUUAUGCAGGUUUAAUGUUUUCAAUAUCAAUGAAGGCUUUGUGUUUCUAAAUAAAGGGACGAAAGCCUUGGCUUGUUGGCUACUGCAUAGGUAGGACAAAGGAUGGAUGGAGUGGAAGGGAAGGAAUAUGCUGCUUAGAGAAGCAUCAGUUCUCUUGUUGAGAGUACCGAUAUGUGAGGUAAUAAAAGGCAGCCUAAAAAAGGAACUGUUGUGGAGGGCUAAGUAAUAAUGAGAAAAGGAGUGAAAGGCAGUUGUGACCAGAAGUAAAUCAGAGUUGAGUAGAAGUGCAGGGCAAGCGCUUCCCUUAAAUAAGAUAUCAUGGACAUAUCUAUGAUGUAGAGCAGGGGUUCUAGUUAACAGUUAAAAUUUAGUUGUAAUUAUUAGUACUUAUGUCAGCUAGUGCUUAUAUCAUCUUCAUCUCACAAAUAUUGAGUGUUUAAAGAAUUCCUGGUGGUUUCUCUGAGUUUUUUUCCUCACAUUUGCACACAUUUCUGUGCAGUGCAUUUAAAUAAACUAUUUUAAAAAUUAGGUCAUGUUUUCUUAAGUCAAUAGAAGUUAACUGAAAAUAAAGUAUUCAAAUUUUGUCUGUAGCAGAUCAGAUACCAAAGUGUGAAAGAGUAAACUACGUUGGUUUAGCAAUUGCACUUUCUCCUUGUUUCCUAAAUGGCAUUAGGAAGACAGAAUUUUUCUUUCUUUAAGUAAAACAGGUACCUAUUUUUUAUUUCUCGUAUUAUUUUGGAAAAGAUGCAAAAAUAACCUGUUUAUGGCUCUAUGUGCUUUCUUUUCUGCUAAAUAUGUAAGUAAAAGAGUUACUUUGUACAAGGGGCUGUAGUUAAAAAGGAUGUGCUCUAAUUGCUUAGUAAAUCAUACAAGGACAACAAUUACCUGUAUUUAUUCUGAAGGCCAACACAGUGGAUUUGCAAAAUAUUCACGUAUGAAGCUGGGAUAAAGGGAAGUGUGUUUCUUAGUUCAUCUGUUUUUUAAUAAAUAAAUAAAUAAAUAAAAAUUAAAUAGCUGGAGGCAUUUUUCUUGUCCUUCUUACUUUGAUAUUGUAUGGUUAUUUUUGUAUAUGUAAAAAGAGCUUUAAGAUCUGUCCCUCAGUUUCCUUCCUUCCAAUAACAUUUUCGAUGGAUUACUUUUGAUUUCAUUUUGCUGUGUAUCCCAAAAUACAGAUCUAAGAAAAAGAUGAUAUUAUUGUAAUUUCAUUCGUGGGGAGAAAAAGUAGUCAGACAAUGUCUCCUGGUCAUGAAAUAACAUUAUCUUUUUAGCGAAUUCUUGUUUUUGCUGGAGUGAACUAAUAUUGGUGGAGUGUCGUGCACCCCAGGUAUGUAAUGCUCAUUAUUGCUUUGUAUGGAACAUAUGUACCUUAUACUUGAACAAGCAGUUCUCAGUAUGAUGACCAGAAGAACUGGUCAUCUCUACAUGUUUGUAUAUUUUGAAAACUGUGUGGGCUUGCAGCCACUUUGCAGCCAAGUUGGAGGUAGCUGGUUCUGAACAUCACUUCACUGAAUGAGGAUGGUAGAGCCAUCAACCACUGAGCUGCAGUUAUUGGAUUGCAUUAGAGAGGUGCCUCUCUAAAAAGCCUGGGAAAAUGCAUUGGAAUACUUUAAACUUUUCUGUUGAAAUUACUAACUAAAUAAUGCACGUUUGAUUUUAUUAUAUGGUGAAGUUGUUGUCUUAAUUUUCAAUUAGGCAUUUUUAAUUUUUUAAAUAGGCUGCUGUACUGAAAUGGCGAGAUUAUUCCAGUUGUGGAAAUGAACUGUGGUAAAAGUAUAUGAUUAGAAGAGUUACAAUGAGGAAUUUCAAAAUACGAUUUGUGUUCCAAAAGUGUGCUUAUGAAACUUCAGUACUGAACGGAAAUAAAAGUUGUAGAUGAAAUUAAACCUUUGUAUACAGUGCUAUUUUUGAUGAUUGACUGUUGUUAUUGAUAGCCUUUCUGUUUAAUUCAUGUGUAAAAUGCAAAUGAUUGAACUCUGAGGUUUCAGUGUUCACUGACAUAUUGUUGCUUGCACUGGGACUGCUUCUGCCUGGUAUUCUCAUCUGUUAUCAUUUCCUCCGUGGACAGAGGAUGUUGUGUCUUUUAUUAUGUUGCAGUUGAUAGAAUAUAAUUCUUUUUUAAGCAUUUCUGAGAAAAGAAAUGCCUUCAGUACCUAAUGAACUUUUCCAAGGGUUCCUGGAAUGACACAUUGAUGAUUUAGAAGUGGUCUCUUUAAGGAACACCUCAGAAUUAGUACUACUCUUUCAGGAUUCAAAUUAAAAAAAGACUUAUUUGAAACAAAAAUAUUGAUUAGCUUGUACAAUUGAGCAGCAUGCCUUUGAUGCUUCUUUCUGAAUUUGAGUAGAAAUUAGCUGCCAUUUGGCAAUGUAUUAAAUGUGGUAUUAAAUGUGGUAAGCCUCUGUUUUGUUUUUGUUUGGAGGAGAGAAGGCUAGCCUAUCUUGAGUAUGAUGUGUGAUUGUGUUUUUUUUUGUUUUUUUUUUUUUUUCCCUCCCACUCUGUGUAGGUUUACUUCAGUGUUUUCUUAUUUCUGGCCUUAGAGUCAAACACUGAUCCUGUGAUUACAGGCAUUCCUUAUAAGUCCCCUUUAAUCAUCAUGCAAUCAGGGAAUUUUGCCUCCGUUAAUUACAUGCUGUGGCAAUAGCUAUUAAAUGCUUACUGCUAUACAGUGUUAUAAUUUGCUCUAAACACAUUGAAACCACUCCUCUUAUUCCAUAUGUUACUUUUCUUUUGCGUGUGUGUGUUUGUUUUUUUUUCCCCAUUUCUCCUCAUAAGAGAUUCUGUUCAGUGGAAUAGAUGGAGGAAGGAGGUAGUGCUUUUCUGAGAGGGAGGAUGCCUUUUCCAGGCAGUUCAGCAUUUCACAGUCAUGAGAGUUAGGAGCUGUCAGGAAGAGUAACUGGUAUUUAAAAUACAAAUAAAUUGAAGAGAGCCGAAGUGAAGCAGUGUAAAUACACUCUUUAGUUUAAAUCUGCACUUCUUACAAGGCUUAUUCUAAGGAAUAAAAUAAUUUUUAAGGUUGUGUUAUUUUUGUAAACUUAGUUUAAAUCCAGUAAGGAUGCUAAGUGAAGCUUUCAUGAAUACCUGCCAACUGCAUAUUGUGCUACUUGCAGGAGGAGUGUGUUUGAAACGUGCUCUAAUAAAAAAUAAAAAAAAUAAAAAAUCAUGAAAAUGGCCUUUAUCAGUUCUCUUAAUUCUCUAGAACUGGAAUAUCUCGUUACAUUAUCAGGAUGUUUUGAAAUUUCUAUUAAAUUCUUCUCAUACACCUGUCAGUUCAGUGCUAUUGUGAUAACCCUUGCUUUGCUAGCCCAACUUGUUAACCUUGAGGAGUGAUAUGCCUUAGAGUUUUUUUGCUAGAGAGGAAUUAACCACAACUUUGCACUUAAAUGUAAGAGAAGUGUGUGAUACUUACCCCAGUGUCUCUUUUACAUUCUUCUUAAAACUUUUGCAUAGAAAUGGUUUUCACAUAAAGCAAACCAGACAUAAAAGAGACAACGUGUCUCCUUCUACAUAUAGAUAGAUAGAAGUACAGAUGAGGAACUUCCUGCUGCCAAUGUGGUGGUCUUAGUUGCUGGAAGGCCUGUUUUGGGACACUUACUGCUUCAGAACUGGUGGUACUUUUAGGCUGCCCUUUAAGUUUACAUGUGUAUGGCCUUUUCAAGAUAACAUGGAAUCAUUAAAGUUGGAACAGACCUCUAAGGUCAUCUAGUCCACCCACCAUCAGUAUUUCCCCACUAAAACAUGUCUCUGUGUACUACAUCUGCCCUUUCCUUUAACAUUUCUGGGGAUGGUGGCUUCCCUGGGCAGCCUGUUCCAAUGCCUUACCAUCUUUCUGAGAAGAAGUUCUUCCUCAUAUUCAACCCAAACCUCCUCUGGCCCAACUAGCCUUGUCGCUAGUUACUUGGGUCAAGAAGCCAACUUCUCCUUGCUACAGCAUCCUUUCAGGUUGUUGUAGAGUGAUAAGAUCUCCUCUGAACCUUCUCUUGUCCUGACUGAAUAAUCUCAGUUCCCUCAGCUGCUCUUCAUAAGACUUGUGCGCCUGAGCCUCCCUGCUUUGCUGCCCUUCUCUGCACACACUCUAGGGCCUUGGUGAAUUUCUUGUAGUGGGAGGCCCAAAACUGAACCCAGUACUCAAGAUGUGGCUGGUCCUGGCUAUUUCUGAUGCAUGCCAGGGUGCCAUUGGCCUUCUUGGCCACCUGGGCACACUGCUGGCUUGUGUUCAGCCAAACAUUGACCAACUACCUCAGACCCAUUUUUUCCAUACAGUCUUCCAGCUAUCCUGCCCUAGGCUUUUAGUAUUGUCUGGGGUUAUUGUGGCCAGAGUGCAGGGUCUGACACUUCAUGUUGUUGAAUUUCAUCCCACUGGCCUUAGCCCAGCAGUCCAGCCUGUCCAGGUCCCUCUGUAGGGCUUUCCUGUCCUCAGGCAGAUUGACUAUCUCAAAAAUCGUUACUGAAAUCUUCUACCUCAUCUGAAAGUGAUAGGAAAAAGUUGAGAUUUUCAUGGUAAUUUGGUUAAAAUCAAGAGCUUUUUUUUUUUUUCAUAAAGGAGUUAAUCUGACCACCUGUGGUUCACUUCUGCCUUUGGCUAGCGACUGAAUUCUGGUCUCUGCUGGCAGAUCACCUCUGGGAACUGAGAUUACUCUGUGGUAACUGAGCUGAGUUUCUUUCCAUGUUAAGUGACAGGAGCAGGAGAAACUGCCUUUAUUUUCAGCUGUUUCCAGAGUUGGCAACUGAGGAAGAAGCACUGCGUUUGGCUCAUAGAGACAUGACUUUUAAGAAGGUUUUGGUGCACUAGAAAGAAGAGUGUGCACGUGACACUGUAUUUACAUGUUGAGGAUAUAAAAUGCAUUUAUACAAAAGGUUUAGCUGACAGUUGUAUCAUUAAAACUCAGUCCUCCCACAGGUUCUCUAGCUGUAUCCCGGACUUACCUUGUACAGUUGAUUUGGUCUAUUUUCUUAUUCUGAAUUCAGGUUUCUUUGGAGUAGGAAAUGAAUAUGAAUAUUUUUUUUUCCACCCAUCUGCCAUCCCAGUUCAAAGUAUAUUAUUGUCUGUCAUCAUUCAUAAUAAAAUAUAGCUAUUACACUGUGCAUGGUUUUUGGUAUUCUAUCCUCUUGAAGUGUAAAU